Molecule: ribosomal RNA, 237 nt
Filed under: uncultured Glomus
Lineage: Eukaryota; Fungi; Glomeromycota; Glomeromycetes; Glomerales; Glomeraceae
Also listed under: 1 other name
Description: partial 18S ribosomal RNA
Rfam family: Eukaryotic small subunit ribosomal RNA (bases 32-237)
Source: RNAcentral
GGACCACUAGGUCGGUCGUGCUUCGGUACGUACUGCCAUUAUUGGUUUCUCCCUUCUGAAGAACCUUGAUGUCAUUAAUUUGGUGUUUUGGGGAAUCGGGACUGUUACUUUGGAAAAAUUAGAGUGUUUAAAGCAGGCUCGCGCUUGAAUACAUUAGCAUGGAAUAAUGAAAUAGGACGUUUGAUUCUAUUUUGUUGGUUUCUAGGAUCGACGUAAUGAUUAAUAGGGAUAGUUGGG